Molecule: non-coding RNA, 73 nt
Organism: Teladorsagia circumcincta
Lineage: Eukaryota; Metazoa; Nematoda; Chromadorea; Rhabditida; Trichostrongylidae
Source: the annotation of a GenBank genome assembly
UGCCCCAGGCGGGGAUCGAACCCAAAAACUCCUGCUUUCUGGGUAACUGUGCCACAGAUUACACCACCAAGGC